This 356-nucleotide long non-coding RNA is filed under the name Olea europaea subsp. europaea. The record is from RNAcentral. Lineage: Eukaryota; Viridiplantae; Streptophyta; Magnoliopsida; Lamiales; Oleaceae.
UGGACAAUGACUAUUUCCAAGUUAUGCAUAUAAGAAACACAAAAGUGCGCCAUGAACUAUUGUCAAAUUGAGGCAGUGCUUUGAGGUACAACUAAAACAAUUUGUAUAUGAAGAAUCCACCGACCAUUAAACAAGUUGCAACUUCUGUUACCCGCAAAGACAUUUGUAAACUCUUCAAACAAGAAGUCGGUGGAUCAUUAUUUCGCUCAUAUCCAACAGUAUUGGUUCUGGGGUGGUAAAGAAGGCAGAAAGUGAGAUGAACGGUUAAAAAGAACAAUAGUGAAGGUGAAGCUACAUUACACAUAUCGAGUAAUCUCUCGUUCAUCAACAUUUGAUUUCUGCAGGGUGAUACUGAU